Molecule: ribosomal RNA, 460 nt
Filed under: uncultured bacterium
Lineage: Bacteria
Description: partial 16S ribosomal RNA
Rfam family: Bacterial small subunit ribosomal RNA
Source: RNAcentral
CCUACGGGAGGCAGCAGUGAGGAAUAUUGGUCAAUGGACGAGAGCCUGAACCAGCCAAGUAGCGUGAAGGAUGACUGCCCUAUGGGUUGUAAACUUCUUUUAUAUGGGAAUAAAAUGUUCCACGUGUGGGAUUUUGUAUGUACCAUAUGAAUAAGGAUCGGCUAACUCCGUGCCAGCAGCCGCGGUAAUACGGAGGAUCCGAGCGUUAUCCGGAUUUAUUGGGUUUAAAGGGAGCGUAGGUGGAUUGUUAAGUCAGUUGUGAAAGUUUGCGGCUCAACCGUAAAAUUGCAGUUGAAACUGGCAGUCUUGAGUACAGUAGAGGUAGGCGGAAUUCGUGGUGUAGCGGUGAAAUGCGUAGAUAUCACGAAGAACUCCGAUUGCGAAGGCAGCUCACUGGACUGCAACUGACACUGAGGCUCGAAAGUGUGGGUAUCAAACAGGAUUAGAUACCCUAGUAGUC